UGGGGAAUAUUGCACAAUGGGCGCAAGCCUGAUGCAGCCAUGCCGCGUGUAUGAAGAAGGCCUUCGGGUUGUAAAGUACUUUCAGCGGGGAGGAAGGGAGUAAAGUUAAUACCUUUGCUCAUUGACGUUACCUGCAGAAGAAGCACCGGCUAACUCCGUGCCAGCAGCCGCGGUAAUACGGAGGGUGCAAGCGUUAAUCGGAAUUACUGGGCGUAAAGCGCACGCAGGCGGUUUGUUAAGUCAGAUGUGAAAUCCUCGGGCUCAACCUGGGAACUGCAUCUGAUACUGGCAAGCUUGAGUCUCGUAGAGGGGGGUAGAAUUCCAGGUGUAGCGGUGAAAUGCGUAGAGAUCUGGAGGAAUACCGGUGGCGAAGGCGGCCCCCUGGACGAAGACUGACGCUCAGGUGCGAAAGCGUGGGGAGCAAACAGG
Molecule: ribosomal RNA, 429 nt
Filed under: Chloroflexota bacterium
Lineage: Bacteria; Bacillati; Chloroflexota
Description: Chloroflexi bacterium partial 16S ribosomal RNA
Rfam family: Bacterial small subunit ribosomal RNA
Source: RNAcentral